RNAcentral lists this transfer RNA (72 nucleotides) under Caristius macropus (bigmough manefish). RNAcentral describes it as "tRNA-Asp". It matches the Rfam family "tRNA". From Rfam's summary of the family: Transfer RNA (tRNA) molecules are approximately 80 nucleotides in length. Their secondary structure includes four short double-helical elements and three loops (D, anti-codon, and T loops). The record is from RNAcentral. Lineage: Eukaryota; Metazoa; Chordata; Actinopteri; Scombriformes; Caristiidae.
AAGACACUAGUAAAAUAAUCAUUAUACUGCCUUGUCGAGGCAGAGUUGUGGGUUUAACUCCCGCGUGCCUUG